RNAcentral lists this unclassified non-coding RNA (520 nucleotides) under uncultured Glomus. RNAcentral describes it as "SSU rRNA". It matches the Rfam family "Eukaryotic small subunit ribosomal RNA", at positions 569 to 1089 of the family's 1831-position model. Lineage: Eukaryota; Fungi; Glomeromycota; Glomeromycetes; Glomerales; Glomeraceae. The record is from RNAcentral.
AGCAGCCGCGGUAAUUCCAGCUCCAAUAGCGUAUAUUAAAGUUGUUGCAGUUAAAAAGCUCGUAGUUGAAUUUCGAGAUCAAAUUGUUGGUCGUGCCUUGGUACGCACUGGCAUUAUUGGUUUCUCCCUUCUGACGAAUCAUGAUGUCAUUAAUUUGGUGUCUUGGGGAAUCAGGACUGUUACUUUGAAAAAAUUUAGAGUGUUUAAAGCAGGCUCACGCUUGAAUACAUUAGCAUGGAAUAAUGAAAUAGGACGUUUGAUUCUAUUUUGUUGGUUUCUAGGAUCGACGUAAUGAUUAAUAGGGAUAGUUGGGGGCAUUAGUAUUCAAUUGUCAGAGGUGAAAUUCUUGGAUUUAUUGAAGACUAACUACUGCGAAAGCAUUUGCCAAGGAUGUUUUCAUUAAUCAGGAACGAAAGUUAGGGGAUCGAAGACGAUCAGAUACCGUCGUAGUCUUAACCAUAAACUAUGCCGACUAGGAAUCAGACGAUGUUAAUUUUUUUAAUGACUCGUUUGGCACCUU